UACAGAGGUCUCAAGCGUUGUUCGGAUUCAUUGGGCGUAAAGGGUGUGUAGGUGGCGCCGUAAGUCGGGUGUGAAAUUUCGGAGCUUAACUCCGAAACUGCAUUCGAUACUGCGGUGCUUGAGGACUGGAGAGGAGACUGGAAUUCAUGGUGUAGCAGUGAAAUGCGUAGAUACAAUCAAGAACUCCGAUUGCGUAGGCAGCUAACUAGGCUGUAACUGACGCUGAGGCACGAAAGCGUGGGGAGCGAACAGG
RNAcentral lists this ribosomal RNA (253 nucleotides) under uncultured bacterium. Its description in RNAcentral is "partial 16S ribosomal RNA". It matches the Rfam family "Bacterial small subunit ribosomal RNA", at positions 524 to 776 of the family's 1533-position model. The record is from RNAcentral.